RNAcentral lists this ribosomal RNA (526 nucleotides) under uncultured Arcobacter sp. RNAcentral describes it as "bacterial SSU rRNA". It matches the Rfam family "Bacterial small subunit ribosomal RNA", at positions 155 to 701 of the family's 1533-position model. Lineage: Bacteria; Pseudomonadati; Campylobacterota; Epsilonproteobacteria; Campylobacterales; Arcobacteraceae. The record is from RNAcentral.
AACGAACGCUAACACCUUAUAUGCCUUUAAGACAAAAGUCUGCAAGGGAAACAUUUAUGGCUCUAGGAUGAGACUGUACGGUAUCAGUUAGUUGGUGAGGUAAUGGCUCACCAAGACAAUGACGCCUAACUGGUUUGAGAGGAUGAUCAGUCACACUGGAACUGAGACACGGUCCAGACUCCUACGGGAGGCAGCAGUGGGGAAUAUUGCACAAUGGAGGAAACUCUGAUGCAGCAACGCCGCGUGGAGGAUGACACUUUUCGGAGCGUAAACUCCUUUUAUAUAGGAAGAUAAUGACGGUACUAUAUGAAUAAGCACCGGCUAACUCCGUGCCAGCAGCCGCGGUAAUACGGAGGGUGCAAGCGUUACUCGGAAUCACUGGGCGUAAAGAGCGUGUAGGCGGAUAAAUAAGUUGGAAGUGAAAUCCUAUGGCUCAACCAUAGAACUGCUUUCAAAACUGUUUAUCUAGAAUAUGGGAGAGGUAGAUGGAAUUUCUGGUGUAGGGGUAAAAUCCGUAGAGAUCAGA